RNAcentral lists this ribosomal RNA (253 nucleotides) under uncultured bacterium. RNAcentral describes it as "partial 16S ribosomal RNA". It matches the Rfam family "Bacterial small subunit ribosomal RNA", at positions 524 to 776 of the family's 1533-position model. The record is from RNAcentral.
UACGAAGGGGGCUAGCGUUGCUCGGAAUCACUGGGCGUAAAGGGUGCGUAGGCGGGUCUUUAAGUCAGGGGUGAAAUCCUGGAGCUCAACUCCAGAACUGCCUUUGAUACUGGCGAUCUCGAGUCCGGGAGAGGUGAGUGGAACUGCGAGUGUAGAGGUGAAAUUCGUAGAUAUUCGCAAGAACACCAGUGGCGAAGGCGGCUCACUGGCCCGGUACUGACGCUAAGGUGCGAAAGCGUGGGGAGCAAACAGG